AAUAGCAAAUUAAAUAUUUCAGUCGUAUCUACUUAAUUGUAAACAAUUGCAAAUUAAAUUUUAAUUAUUUAAUAAUAGCAAUCAUUAAUUCUAUUAUUCUAUCAAUUAUCCAUAUAUUUCGCAAUAUAUUACUAAGAAAUAUUAAUAAAUAUCGUCUGUUUAUUAUAGAUGCAUUAUACUGAUUUCUCUAAAUUUGUAAUUCGAUAUUGAUAGAUGAAAAGAGCUAUCAACAAACUAACACUAGUAGCACGAUCACAAUACUUCAGCCAUAGUAACUUCGCUAUGGAUGAAGUAAAAAGUUUUGGUAUGAUAAAUAUUAUUUAUGAUAAACAGAAACCAAAUAAUAAAAAAUCAAUAAUUUUCUUUACUUUUUUAGGUAUAUGGGGAUGGAUAACUGUGACUGGUCUGGGAGAAUUAAUACGAAUUGACGAAUAUUUAACAUCAUCUCAAUACAUUGAUA
RNAcentral lists this long non-coding RNA (460 nucleotides) under Androctonus crassicauda. The record is from RNAcentral. Lineage: Eukaryota; Metazoa; Arthropoda; Arachnida; Scorpiones; Buthidae.